RNAcentral lists this long non-coding RNA (1261 nucleotides) under Lactuca sativa (garden lettuce). RNAcentral's name for it is "long non-coding RNA (LSAT_LNC004741)". Lineage: Eukaryota; Viridiplantae; Streptophyta; Magnoliopsida; Asterales; Asteraceae. The record is from RNAcentral.
GUGUUAUCACACAACCCUUCUUAUGUAGGAUUCAUUGGGAUCAAUUGCUCACGCUUAAGGUAACAGUCUUGAUCUAAUUCUCUUUGAAUUCAAUUUAAGUGUAAUUUGAUCAGUUUCUACAAUUUGUUCAAUGUGUUGGCUUCCAAUUUUCAGGUGCAUCUAUUUAGUUCUUUCCAGGUAAAUCUAUGGGUUGGUUUAGCUCCAGGGUAUAUGUAUGGUGUUUGUUCCAAGGUAUGUGUUGUUUUAUUUGAACCUGUAAAAACAACACAGUCUUGCAAUGGGAAGCCUUGGUGAAAGGACCUGUGAAAUUUGACUGAUUUUGGGACUUAGUGUCUAGGGUGGUUGAUGACGAGCUAGAAAUGGUUGUGAUCGAAAAUACUGAAGAAGCUAGAGUGCUCCCUAUGGAUACCCUAGACCAUAAAAUGUAGCCAUCAUCUUUCACUCUCACCCUCCCCAUCUUACUACACCACUCACCAUGGCUUUCACCACCACCACCACAACAUAAAACAUCCUGGUAAUUUUCAUUUUUUUUUUUCAAAAUGUUGUUUUAGGGUUUAGGGUUUAAGGUUUAGGGUUAGAUAAUCCAUUUAAGAUACCUAAGGUUGAUUUGAUAGACACUAUACUUAGUAAAUAUUCUCCAAGUAACCGACAUUGCAGGUUACAAUAGGGACAUCAAAGCAUGUUGGGAUUUGAUAACAAUGUGGUGUGCUCUUAGUAUUUUCUUUGUGUUUAAUAUUCUUUUUGUUCAUUUAAUACAUAUUUCUUAUUUUAGUUGAACCAUUGCACUUUAAGUUUUUGAUUUCUAAAACCACAUAGCUUAUGAAUAUGCAAAAUUCUCAAUAGUUUUGUGCUCAUUAUGUAAUACCUCCUAAUACAUUUCCAAUUGUCAGGUGCUUCCCAUAUAAAUUGUGUUGAGACUCUUUGUUUAAGGGCAACAAGUAUCAUUGUAUGUUGAAAAGAUCAAGGAAAGUAUUUUGUUUAGUCUGGUUUGCAUAUUGGAGUUCAAGUUGUAAUUUCAUAGUAUAUUGUUAUAUUUACUGUUUUGUAUUUGAUUUUACCACUAAUUUUAGAACAAGAGUUUGUUCCAUAUCAAUUGAAUGCUUAUUCCAUAGUUUUUCUGCAUAUUUGAUUGCCAAAUUCUUUAAUGAUAUUUUUAAAUGUUAGUCAAGCAAAUUAGCCUUUAUGUUUCAUUUUUAUAAUUUGUCAAAGAUAGGUUUAGUAAUGUUAUGUCAAUAAACUAUACAGAUUUUAGUCAAUGUUA